GUAUACAUCUCGGCAAGGCCAGGAGCGUCGGCUUGUGCAUCACAAAGAUACUUUCAACUUAGGAGGAGUUCGUAUGGUGUUGUUCCAGGGGUGAUGCCCAGUGUUUACGUGAACUUCGCGUUUGGUUCCUGUCAGAACUAUUAUUGUUUCAUAGCAACACGCACCGUCUUUCCAACGUCACUUCUGUAGAGGAAUUUGCAGCUAAUGUUGGUUGACGAACCUCAGUAGUUUUAUGCUUUUCUUAAUUAACUUUUCAUUUAUCAGAUAUGGGUUUGUUAUAUUCUUCACUUUGUUCACAAAUGAUGUUGUCUUUUACGUUUUCGAAUAAAUCAGGGAUAUUGUUACACUGUCUCAUUUGUUAGAUACUUAAUUCACGUUGUGAUUGAA
Molecule: long non-coding RNA, 387 nt
Organism: Ipomoea triloba (trilobed morning glory)
Lineage: Eukaryota; Viridiplantae; Streptophyta; Magnoliopsida; Solanales; Convolvulaceae
Exons: 2
Source: RefSeq, a predicted model, not a curated record